This 984-nucleotide long non-coding RNA is filed under the name Neogobius melanostomus (round goby). Its description in RNAcentral is "lncRNA (ENSNMLG00000016824.1)". Lineage: Eukaryota; Metazoa; Chordata; Actinopteri; Gobiiformes; Gobiidae. The record is from RNAcentral.
UUUGUUUUUGUGUUGUUAUUUGUUGUUGCCAAAAAUCAUGCUUCCGGUUAGGCUCGUGCAGCCCCCUCUCGGACCAAAGCGUUCAUUGCAUUUAGAGGAAAAAAUAAAACGGAUCAGAAUCGGCUUGUGUUGCCAUUGGCAUUUAUAAAAUCGGGAAUUUGCUUCAGCUAAAUUGUGCAACAUAAAAACAAAUGAAGCAAAUAGACGGCUAUAAGGCCAUACAAUACAAUGAAAAGGUUGAUGUAGAAAUGCUUUUCUUCAGCCCCGGUUCUAGCUAGCUAGGCUAACUGUUAGCAAGUUUGAAUCUUUAAGAAACAGGACCUUCCUUUAAAUCUAUCCUUCAAUUUUUUGUCGAUCGUGUUUCCGCCUCAGAUUGAGCAGCAACAGUGCUGGCCACGUGAUCAAACCGGAAGUAGCCUCAAACGGACUGAUUAGUUUGUGUUUGACCUAAAGUCUGGUUUUGCUCAAAUGGACAUCAUUGCAGUGAAAGUCGAGGAGGAAUACGAGAUAAAACCACUUCCUCUCAAAGACGUCCAGGUUAAAGAGGAACCAGAGGAACAGAGCGUCCGACAGGAGGAAGAGCAGCUCCUACAGGUCACUGCUGUCUGUGUGAAGAGCGACGAGUCCUCACUGUCAGACGUCCAGAUCCAGUCGAGUCCUGAGCCCAGACUGAAGCAGGAGACUCCACAGAUUAAAGAGGAGCAGAGCGUCCCACAGGAGGAAGAGCAGCUCCCACAGUUCACUGCUGUCUGCGUGAAGAGUGAAGAGCAGAGACAAACUGAUGACUGGGAACCUCCAGCCAGCGCUUCAGCUGCACAGACGGACACAGAGUCUGAUGGAGACCACGACGACCAAGUCCAGAUAAAAGACACAAGUCAGCUGCUCACAACUCCACUCUAUUCACCAAAAACAAGUCUGUGAGGGACGGACACACGACAGGAGGGAAACACGAGUGUCCUUUUUGCCAGAAGACAUUCGCCGCUA